CCUACGGUGGCUGCAGUGGGGAAUAUUGGACAAUGGGCGAAAGCCUGAUCCAGCCAUGCCGCGUGUGUGAAGAAGGCCUUCGGGUUGUAAAGCACUUUCAGUGGGGAAGAAAGCCUUGGGGCUAAUACCCUCGAGGAAGGACAUCACCCACAGAAGAAGCACCGGCUAACUCCGUGCCAGCAGCCGCGGUAAUACGGAGGGUGCGAGCGUUAAUCGGAAUUACUGGGCGUAAAGCGCGCGUAGGCGGUCUGAUAAGCCGGUUGUGAAAGCCCCGGGCUCAACCUGGGAACGGCAUCCGGAACUGUCAGGCUAGAGUGCAGGGGAGGAAGGUAGAAUUCCCGGUGUAGCGGUGAAAUGCGUAGAGAUCGGGAGGAAUACCAGUGGCGAAGGCGGCCUUCUGGACUGACACUGACGCUGAGGUGCGAAAGCGUGGGUAGCAAACAGGAUUAGAUACCCGUGUAGUC
Molecule: ribosomal RNA, 464 nt
Filed under: Vreelandella stevensii
Lineage: Bacteria; Pseudomonadati; Pseudomonadota; Gammaproteobacteria; Oceanospirillales; Halomonadaceae
Description: partial 16S ribosomal RNA
Rfam family: Bacterial small subunit ribosomal RNA
Source: RNAcentral